This 481-nucleotide ribosomal RNA is filed under the name uncultured bacterium. RNAcentral describes it as "partial 16S ribosomal RNA". It matches the Rfam family "Bacterial small subunit ribosomal RNA", at positions 38 to 506 of the family's 1533-position model. The record is from RNAcentral.
AGGGAAAGAGGGAGGAAGGAGGUACACAUGAAAGUCGAACGGUAACAGGCCGCAAGGUGAUGAAGAGUGGUGAAAGGGUGAGUAAUGGAUUGGAACGUGAUUAGUAGUGGGGGAUAAAUACUCGAAAGAGUAGCUAAUACCGCAUACGAUCUAUGGAUGAAAGCGGGGGACCGUAAGGCCUCGCGCGAUUGGAGCGGCCGAUGUCAGAUUAGGUAGUUGGUGGGGUAAAGGCUCACCAAGCCAACGAUCUGGAGCUGGUCUGAGAGGACGACCAGCCACACUGGGACUGAGACACGGCCCAGACUCCUACGGGAGGCAGCAGUGGGGAAUUUUGGAAAAUGGGAGCAAGAAUGAUAAAGAAAUGCCGCGUGCAGGAAGAAGGCCUUCGGGUUGUAAACUGCUUUUGUACGGAACGAAACGGCUCUGGUUAAUACCCGGGGCUAAUGACGGUACCGUAAGAAUAAGCCCCGGCUCACUACAU